Molecule: unclassified non-coding RNA, 255 nt
Filed under: Hevea brasiliensis (rubber tree)
Lineage: Eukaryota; Viridiplantae; Streptophyta; Magnoliopsida; Malpighiales; Euphorbiaceae
Source: RNAcentral
AAGAUGUUUUUGUUUCAGCACUCCGCUUUGCUUUGUCAAUUAACAGCCCAUGUUCCCCAUUUGGAGAUGAGCUUCAAAGAUCUGCUCAGGAACAAGUUGACUACAUGUUAAGGGCAGACGCCGACACGUCAUUGGUAAUAACAGAUGAUGAAGUAAAAUCCGUAUUAAAAACGGGCCUCUUUAGAACUUGUGCAUCAUUUGAGAGGGAUCUAUCUUCCCUACUUUUGGAUUCUGACCUUGCAUCUCAAGCCAAUG